RNAcentral lists this transfer RNA (71 nucleotides) under Camelus bactrianus (Bactrian camel). It matches the Rfam family "tRNA". Rfam says of the family: Transfer RNA (tRNA) molecules are approximately 80 nucleotides in length. The record is from Rfam by way of RNAcentral. RNAcentral also lists the same sequence under 2 other names. Lineage: Eukaryota; Metazoa; Chordata; Mammalia; Artiodactyla; Camelidae.
AGGGUAAUAGCUCAAUGUAGAGUGCAUGCUUAACAUACACAAAGUCCUGGGUUCAAUCCCCAGUACCUCUA